RNAcentral lists this small nucleolar RNA (133 nucleotides) under Pogona vitticeps (central bearded dragon). RNAcentral's name for it is "Small nucleolar RNA SNORA33 (ENSPVIG00000015267.1)". It matches the Rfam family "Small nucleolar RNA SNORA33". From Rfam's summary of the family: ACA33 is a member of the H/ACA class of snoRNA that guide the sites of modification of uridines to pseudouridines. The record is from Rfam by way of RNAcentral. Lineage: Eukaryota; Metazoa; Chordata; Lepidosauria; Squamata; Agamidae.
UGGCCAGUAGGAUAAAAUCUGCUUAACUUCUAAAUGUUUUGCAGAAAUUUAAAAUAAUGCUGGCAAGAAUAAGGCCAGAGUACGAGCCUCAAAGACUUUAUAGUCAUUGAGGUCCCAAUAAAUGGCUACAUGG